CCGGAGUGGACGCAUCACUGGUGUUCGGGUUGUCAUGCCAAUGGCACUGCCCGGUAGCUAAAUGCGGAAGAGAUAAGUGCUGAAAGCAUCUAAGCACGAAACUUGCCCCGAGAUGAGUUCUCCCUGACUCCUUGAGAGUCCUGAAGGAACGUUGAAGACGACGACGUUGAUAGGUCGGGUGUGUAAGCGCAGCGAUGCGUUGAGCUAACCGAUACUAAUGAACCGUGAGGCUUAACCUU
RNAcentral lists this ribosomal RNA (239 nucleotides) under Enterobacter cloacae. RNAcentral's name for it is "partial 23S ribosomal RNA". It matches the Rfam family "Bacterial large subunit ribosomal RNA", at positions 2692 to 2925 of the family's 2925-position model. The record is from RNAcentral. Lineage: Bacteria; Pseudomonadati; Pseudomonadota; Gammaproteobacteria; Enterobacterales; Enterobacteriaceae.